AUCUUCGGGGCAGGGUGCAAUUCCCUACCGGCGGUGACAGUCCGCGAGCCGAAUUUCCGUUUUGGAAAAGAGGGCACGAACCGGUGAAAUUCCGGUACCGACAGUAAAGUCUGGAUGAGAGAAGAU
Molecule: non-coding RNA, 126 nt
Filed under: bovine gut metagenome
Description: FMN riboswitch (RFN element)
Rfam family: FMN riboswitch aptamer (RFN element)
About the family: The RFN element is a highly conserved domain that is found frequently in the 5'-untranslated regions of prokaryotic mRNAs that encode for flavin mononucleotide (FMN) biosynthesis and transport proteins. This element is a metabolite-dependent riboswitch that directly binds FMN in the absence of proteins.
Source: RNAcentral